CCAACGGCUGAGGAGACAUAAGAGACAGGAAAGAGAAGCGUGUCCGCUGACAUAAACUAAUUCCCUGAGGAGCCAUUACUUCCCUCGCACGGGUUAAUCUUAUAAAAAGGCUACACGGAGAAGACAUAAAGGUAAAACGCUGCGAGGAGAGGCGGAGCGUGCGACUGAUGAGCACGCGCGCUGGGUAGGAAGAGCUAGGAGUACACGCUGAAGUAACGUUGCCACAAACCGCGCUCUGCUUUUUUCCUGUAUUUAUUAUUGCCAUUUUAUAUGUGCACAUAUGCCGUGAUUUUAAGUUUCGGAUUAGUGAAGCUCCAGGACAAGGACCAGUUUCUGAAAGUAUGAACUUUUCUGCUGAGGCGCCGCGCUACAGGUUCAGAAGGAGCCCGUGAGCUGAGCUGAAAGUCGUUCUUUGAUUUACUGCCGUGAUGAAGACCAGAGUGUUGGACGCUGUUUAGCUGUUUAUUAGCCUGCUCGGUGUGAGACACGGGACAAAGAGGGGACGCCAGAGAUUCGCUCACCUUUUUGCGCACUUCCAUGAGUCAAGGCGGAGUAAUAAUACUGUUCGUGUAAAUUGUACGUUUCAAAUGUCAAGAUGACCGUGAAACUGGACUUCGAAGAGUGCCUGAAAGACUCCCCCAGGUUCAGGGCCGCCAUUGAGGACGUGGAGGGGGAUGUGAACGAACUGGAGACGCGUCUCGAGAAGUUGGUGAAGCAGUGUAACUCCAUGCUGGAGGCAGGUCGUACAUACUGCCAGCAUAGUAAAAGCUUUGUGAAUGGGCUCAGGGAGCUGGGACACCACUGUUCUGAAGACAAAACUAUGGGGGACUGUUUAGAAAAGUUCUCCAAGAAGUUGUCCAUCAUUCUCAAUGCUCAUGAGGAGCUCAUUGAAGCCACACAGAAGUCGGUGAGAAUGAAGUUGCAGAGUUUUGUGAAGGAUGAUGUGAAGCGCUUUAAAGAUGUACGUAAGGAGUUUGAACGCAGUAGUGAGACUUUGGAGACAGCACUGGGGAGGAAUGCUCAAGCUCCACGGGGUAAACAGCAUGAAGUAGAGGAGGCCAGCCUGGCUCUGUUGAAUGCCCGCAGAAUCUUCAGAUCAGAGGCUCUGGACUAUGUACUGCAGAUCAAUGUUAUUGAGUCCAGGAAGAAGACUGAAAUAUUGAUGGCGAUGCUCUCCCUGAUGGAGGCCCAGGCUCUGUUCUUCCAGCAGGGCCACCAGUCCCUCACAGAACUCGAAGAGUACCGCAGGCAGCUUAGCGACGAGCACACUCAACUAGUUUUGAAUUCUGCCAGAGAGAAAAGAGAUAUGGAACAGAGACAUGCUGCCAUCAAGAAAAAGGACGUAUCUUAUGAUGACUUGAUCAUGGACUUCAGUCCAGAUGCACCCAAUGGCAUCGUCAUGGAGGGCUACCUGUACAAAAGAGCAAGUAACGCCUUCAAAACUUGGAGCAGGCGGUGGUUCUCAAUUCAGAAAAACCAGCUGGUCUACCAAAAGAAAUACAAAGAGCAGCCGACAGUGGUAGUGGAAGACUUGCGGCUCUGCACCGUGAAGCCCUGUGCGGAGCAGGACAGAAGAUUCUGCUUUGAGGUCGUCUCUCCCUCCAAGAGCUGUCUGUUACAAGCAGAUUCAGAGCGACAACAGCAAGGUUGGAUGAGUGCUGUGCAGAACAGCAUUGCCUCAGCAUUUCAAGAGAGGAGAGAGGAUACACUUAGCCCUAGAGAGCGCUGUAGCUCAGUGUCAGCGGGCAGUGUGAACUUGGUUGGUGGGGAGCAGUCGAAUUCAGGCUGUAAAGCACUGGAGGAGGUGCAAGCUAUCCCAGGGAAUGGACACUGCUGUGACUGUGGAGAACCAGCACCAGACUGGGCUUCCAUUAACCUGGGAAUAACACUCUGUAUUACCUGCUCUGGAAUUCACAGGAGUCUGGGUGUCCACUUUUCCAAAGUUCGCUCUCUAACUCUGGACUCCUGGGAGCCAGAACUCAUCAAACUGAUGUGUGAGUUAGGAAACACUGCCAUUAACCGGAUCUAUGAGGCACGCAUUGAUGAGAUCACCAUAAAGAAACCGCAUCCCUCAAGUCCCAGGCAGGAUAAGGAGUCAUGGAUUCGCUCAAAAUACGUGGAGAAGAAAUUUAUUCACAAGCUUCCUGAAACAGGCCGUGCCCCACCCCUGCGUCGCUCCAGUGCGCGCCGUAAUAGAGCAACCACUCAAGAGAAACCGGGCACACGUCCUGUACUCAAACCCAAACCCAGCAGAGCCACCCUGCCACGCCUCACAGGCCUGAACCCAAGUGAAAUAAUGAAGAACAGCUUUGACUCUCACAAAGAUGAUGAAGACGAGGAGGAUUUGAGCGGUCUUCACCCCGGCGCUCUGCUCUAUCGUUCUGCAGCACUUCAGCACUUCCCUGUCAUGGCCGAUGCUCUGGCACAUGGAGCUGACGUCAACUGGGUUAAUGUAGCCGAGGACAGCAGAACACCACUCAUACAGGCCGCUACCGUGAAUUCCCUGGCAGCGUGCGAGUUCCUACUGCAGAAUGGUGCUAAUGUUAACCAGGCAGACUCUAUUGGAAGAGGACCUUUACACCACGCUACUAUACUGGGACAUACAGGGCUGGUGUGUCUGUUUCUGAAGAGAGGAGCGGACUACAAUGCCAAGGAUAUCCACCAAAAAGACCCGAUCACCAUAGCUGUAGAUAGUGCCAACGCUGACAUCGUUACACUCCUUCGAAUAGCCAAGAUGAACAAAGAGAUGCGAGAGAUGGAUGGCUUCGCCCAAUCAGGUCACUCCGAGGGUUGUGUUGGUGGGGGUGGAUCUGGGGAUCUGAUUGGUCAGACCAAGAAAAGCUUUCAGGCGCUUAAGCACCACCUUAGUGGUUGGACCUUGGGGGGACAGAACGAAUAGUUCAGAGUAACAGGCAACUAAGUAGACUUUACUGAAAAUGUGCAAUAUGAUAAAAAAAUAUAUAUAAACCCACAAACACUUCAACAGAGGAAGCUCCAGUGAGUCAGAAUAGGCAUUAUUUGUACUGCCAUUGUUUAAAGUAAUGUAGUGUAAUGUAAAAUAAUGUAAAGUGUAUUGUUAUGUAUAUUUUAAUAUCUUGUACAUAUGUACAUAAGUGAUAUAUGUGGUUAAAUUCUAGUAGAAUAGAGAGAGACUUUUGGGAUCUCUGGUGUCCAAUAGUAUCACAGAUUGAGGGCGGGAAAAAAAAAGUUAAGCUUUUUUUUUUUGGGUUAUCAGUCACUUCACUUAGGUACAUUUUGGCCUUCAUGGGGAGUUUACUUUUACCAGCUGGUUCAGAAUUUUCAAAUUCAAGAGCAUUUGCUCUGUGGUUGUGGAGUAUGUGUAAUAUUUAUAGUAUAAUUAGCGCUUAUUCUGUGUCAGUUUUGCUGACUUUCUGUGCUCUUGUCUUUUGCAUCAGUUGUUCACUGAGGAGCUUCAUUAUGGCAGCUUGUUCCUAUAUCAAUGUCUCUCUGUCUAUGUCGCUGAUUGUGGGUAUAUGUGUGUUUUGUGUGUCCUGAGAUGGACGGCCAAGUGUCCACUGCUUGCAGUGUGUCGUCUGCACUGCGUGUCACAGGUGAUGAGACAUACCAUGAUAUCUUUAGGGAUUUCUCCCAAAUGGCCUCCCACAACCCAGAGAAGCUGAAACGUCGCAGUGCUGACAUUAAAAUCCCAUAACCACCAGAUGGCACUGCUGCCACUGCUACCAUGUUCUGAGCACAUAGACAUGGGCAGAAAAAUUCUUGUUUACUUCAUAAUUGAUCUAUUCAUGCUCCGCCCACAGAUGUGUUCUUUAAUAAAUCCUGUUGUAAAACAAAAAUCCCAUUUUACCUGAUAAAAAGCUGGAGCACUCAACACUGUUUUGUCAAAGAACCUAAAUUAGGAGUUUUUCAUGUGAAAUUUUAUUUAUUUAAUUUUUUUUUACGUGUGGAAAGUAACACGUUUAGGGUAGUUUUUGUGUAAUCAGGCCAAUGUUUGCAUGGUGGCAAAGUUGUUCUUCUGCUACAGCAGCUCUGUAGUGUAACAUUUUGAACUGGAAACUUUAGCAUUGUAGCAGCUGUAAACAUAGUGCGCUUCAGUUUCUCAUCAGGGUCAGUGGGGCUUUUGCCCAUGUUCUGUGAAGCCUGUCUAACCUCACAGCACUCGCUAUGAAAGAACAUAUUUAUAGGUGGAGCACAGAUACGUCAACUGUCUUACUUAUUUUACUGUGUCAUUGCGUGGCUGGCCAUGAUGCCAGAAGAGAAAACGUAAUUGUGAAAUGCAUGCUGCUGUAAAGUCAGCGCGUUGUUAUCAGCUGCAGUUUGUAGUCAGCCUGGAUCUUUGAGCCGGAGUCCCACUAGGGUGUAGUGAUCCGCUGAUUCCAUAGAUACGCAGUAGAGCUGCCAUUAAACUGCAACCGUUUGUCCUGUUGCUCUGCAAACACCAGCAUUCUCUUAACUCACAUUGGUACUGAGGAGGGCUCUGGAUUCAUGAAAUCAAGCCUUUGGUGUCCAGUCAAAUUGAACUGAUCAUGGUUCUAUUUCACAAUCCAAUAUUCUUUUAUUACAGCAAUACCAUGAAUGUGUAUUUUAUGUUUUAACCUCGAGACUGAAUUAAAUUUCAGUGUGAACAAUUUAGUUACGCCAGUGCUUUUAUUUCUCCCUCUGAAACAGUGUUAGUUUAUCUUGUCCAUCUUUAACAGCAGCUGGAUGUUGUUGAAUUCCUGUUUUUUCUGUUCCAUUUUGUGACCAAACUUAGAAUUCUGUGUUUAAAAUUUCUUUUCUUUUUCCUGUUACAUAAACAUUGUGUUUUGUAAGCAUGUCUGUAACAGCCAUAAUCUGUUUAUUGCAAAAUCUCAUAUGUAGGCUUAUUUAGCUAAUAUAAGGGCAAUUUAAUAGUGAUGUUUUUAGUAUACUUGUACUUGGCUUGUCUCAUGAAUUAAUUUAAUGAGCAACAUUUGCUUAAAAAUGUUGAUGGAUUUAGUCAUAGUAUCAGCCCUUGUCCAUCCUCCUGCAGAGUCCAUGGGGUCUUUUUAACCUGUGCUUCAAAUUUAUAGGGUCCUAUAAUAAGUCAUUAUUGUUAAUGUCUUCAUUGGUGUUUCCAUACAGUAAGCAGCAUUGUCAACUCACACAAUAAACACACCUCUUGAUGACAUGCAA
Molecule: RNA transcript, 5133 nt
Organism: Pygocentrus nattereri (red-bellied piranha)
Lineage: Eukaryota; Metazoa; Chordata; Actinopteri; Characiformes; Serrasalmidae
Gene: acap1
Gene name: ArfGAP with coiled-coil, ankyrin repeat and PH domains 1
Exons: 23
Source: RefSeq, a predicted model, not a curated record